This 500-nucleotide long non-coding RNA is filed under the name Carassius auratus (goldfish). Its description in RNAcentral is "lncRNA (ENSCARG00000005082.1)". The record is from RNAcentral. Lineage: Eukaryota; Metazoa; Chordata; Actinopteri; Cypriniformes; Cyprinidae.
UUAGCAAAUGUAUGCAACGUUUGAGAGGAACGUUGGCCAGUGGUUUAUGGUCCCCUCAGACAGGCAAGAAGAAAGGCCCGCUGUCCGCUCUCAGCUUUUUCCGCAGUCUCGUGGUCCAGAAGAUAGACCUUCUGACGGCCGAUAUUGAUAUGGGCAAUGAGGAACCGGGGGACCCUUUAAAAGGAUGCCACUCAGGAAAGAUACAAGGAGUCUGCUCUGACAAGUCAUCCCACAAAACACCAACUCCAUCUUUGGCACCACCAGCAUAUCCCAUAAAAGAUCAAGGGCUGCAUGAUGCAGGUCAAAAACAGGAAUCAACUCAGGAGUUGGUAAUUUCUCAAAGACAUACAUCGGGGACCUCUUCAAAGCGCAGGAGCCAGAAGCCUCCACCUUACCCCUACGCCAGCACAAUGGGAAGAGUGAAUCCUAAAGCAAAAGACAAAGGUCAGAAGAUGCCACCAUACCCAUUUAGACGGAGACUGCUCUCAACCAUUGUUUGA